GACGAACGCUGGCGGCGUGCUUAACACAUGCAAGUCGAACGGAAAGGCCCCCUUGUGGGGUACUCGAGUGGCGAACGGGUGAGUAACACGUGAGUAACCUACCCUUGACUUUGGGAUAACUUCAGGAAACUGGGGCUAAUACCGGAUAGGAGCUCCUGCUGCAUGGUGGGGGUUGGAAAGUUUCGGCGGUUGGGGAUGGACUCGCGGCUUAUCAGCUUGUUGGUGAGGUAGUGGCUCACCAAGGCUUUGACGGGUAGCCGGCCUGAGAGGGUGACCGGCCACAUUGGGACUGAGAUACGGCCCAGACUCCUACGGGAGGCAGCAGUGGGGAAUAUUGCACAAUGGGCGGAAGCCUGAUGCAGCAACGCCGCGUGCGGGAUGACGGCCUUCGGGUUGUAAACCGCUUUCGCCUGUGACGAAGCGUGAGUGACGGUAAUGGGUAAAGAAGCACCGGCUAACUACGUG
Molecule: ribosomal RNA, 465 nt
Filed under: uncultured bacterium
Lineage: Bacteria
Description: partial 16S ribosomal RNA
Rfam family: Bacterial small subunit ribosomal RNA
Source: RNAcentral